GGUAAUCGGAGAUGUCGAGGUUCUCCGGAUGGAUCCGGAGCUAAGAGGGAAGCCGGUGCGAUGCCGGCGCUGCCCCGCAACUGUAAGCGGCGAGCCGCUGUCCAAUAGAAGCCACUGAAGCCACGCGGCUUUGGGAAGGUCGGAUAGCGGCGACGACCCGCGAGCCAGGAGACCUGGCCCGACAAUAUAUUCGUC
RNAcentral lists this non-coding RNA (195 nucleotides) under Bradyrhizobium lablabi. Lineage: Bacteria; Pseudomonadati; Pseudomonadota; Alphaproteobacteria; Hyphomicrobiales; Nitrobacteraceae. The record is from RNAcentral.